This 425-nucleotide ribosomal RNA is filed under the name uncultured Alphaproteobacteria bacterium. RNAcentral describes it as "bacterial SSU rRNA". It matches the Rfam family "Bacterial small subunit ribosomal RNA", at positions 962 to 1382 of the family's 1533-position model. The record is from RNAcentral. Lineage: Bacteria; Pseudomonadati; Pseudomonadota; Alphaproteobacteria.
CGCAGAACCUUACCACGCCUUCGUACAUCCGGUCGCGGAUCGCAGAGAUGCUUUCCUUCAGUUCGGCGUGGACCGGUGACAGGUGCUGCAUGGCUGUCGUCAGCUCGUGUCGUGAGAUGUUGGGUUAAGUCCCGCAACGAGCGCAACCCCCGCCUUCAGUUGCCAACGGUUCGGCCGUGCACUCUGGAGGAACUGCCUGUGACAAGCAGGAGGAAGGUGGGGAUGACGUCAAGUCCUCAUGGCCCUUAUGGGCUGGGCUACACACGUGCUACAAUGGCGGUGACAGAGGGAUGCAAUACCGCGAGGUGGAGCAAAUCCCUAAAAGCCGUCUCAGUUCGGAUUGUUCUCUGCAACUCGAGAGCAUGAAGUUGGAAUCGCUAGUAAUCGCAGAUCAGCUCGCCGCGGUGAAUACGUUCCCGGGCCUU